Molecule: long non-coding RNA, 394 nt
Filed under: Glycine max (soybean)
Lineage: Eukaryota; Viridiplantae; Streptophyta; Magnoliopsida; Fabales; Fabaceae
Description: long non-coding RNA (GMAX_LNC004552)
Source: RNAcentral
GUGGUGUCACAAUUGGUGGUGUUGGUACUACAGGUGGAUAAACAAUGGGUGGUUUUGGCACAUAAGGUGGUGUAACUGGCACAACUGGUGGUUUUGGGAUAUAUGGUGGUCUAACUGGGACAACAGGUGGUUUUGGGACAUAAGGAGGGUUCACAAUUGGUGGUUUUGGAACAUAUGGUGGUGUAACUGGCACAACUGGUGGUUUUGGGACAUAGGGAGGGUUCACAACUGGUGGCUUCGGGACAUAGGGUGGUUUAACAACUGGUGGUUUUGGGACAUAAGGUGGAUGUGGAUGCAGUGGAGGCUUAGGGUGAGGUUUUGGGACAUGGGGUGGAUGUGGAUGAACUGGUGGUUUAGGGUAGUGAGGAGGUUUUGGGACAUAGGGUGGGUGUAC